Molecule: long non-coding RNA, 493 nt
Organism: Rhodamnia argentea
Lineage: Eukaryota; Viridiplantae; Streptophyta; Magnoliopsida; Myrtales; Myrtaceae
Exons: 3
Source: RefSeq, a predicted model, not a curated record
AGCUAUUUCUAUGCAGAUUUAUAAGUUUGAGGAUUAAAUGUUGCUUAAGAUAUUGUUAUGAUUCCUAACGUUGUUAUCUUCUGCACACUACCAUAAUGUUUGUAUCGGAUUGGUCAUUGUACUAGUCACCCUACCCAAACCUCUCCAUCCAAAGGAACAUGAUGCCCAUAAUCACCAUGUUACUUCCCAAGAGCAAAGUCCUGCAGUAAUGACUACCCAGUAAAGCCUGAAAAGUACCAGAUCAGCAACCGAGGGGAAAAGUGACUUAGAGAUUCCCAAUGACGUACAAUCUGCUGGUGUCCCUGCAAAAUGAAAAGCCAUUACUGGAAGAACAUGGAACCAACCAUAGGGCCUCUCCAGCCUUGUUGGGACUUUAUGAAUACAAUAUAUAUAUAGCCAUGUAACAUCAGCAAUUCAUCUAGGUGCUAACCUAGAUGCAUCACUUUCCAUUUUUUACCUUCAAUUGAAAAAACUAGCACUUUUGUAAUAAAUA